Molecule: long non-coding RNA, 1319 nt
Organism: Sipha flava (yellow sugarcane aphid)
Lineage: Eukaryota; Metazoa; Arthropoda; Insecta; Hemiptera; Aphididae
Exons: 5
Source: RefSeq, a predicted model, not a curated record
UAAAAUUUCAUGCCUGGGGAUGAAUCCCCAUCUUCCACCCCCUAGUUCCGCCCUUGUUUACAAUUAUGCAAGGGGUGGUCGAUGGCAAUAAUCGGAACAACUCAAAUAAUUUUUGUCAGUAUGCCAACGCGGACCCGGAAUCUCAUCGAUCAAAUAAUCGGAGAUAUUCAAUGGUGUUGUCGUCGUCGCCGUAACCAUGUUGCUGCAGUGGUCGUAGCAAAGAUCAUUUUACGAGUCGUUUUCGUCGCAGUAAUGAUGGUGUUCGCGGUCACAGUAAUCGUCGCUGUCGUCAUCGUCAAUCUGGUCAUCUCCUACGCUGAUGUCGGCACUGUUAGGAGCUGUCGUUGUCGCCGGAGUCGUAAAACUGGUCUUCUCUCUUCAAUACUUCUAACUGGAUUGAUGAUAUUGGUUUGAUUGAAAAAAAUUGUGUAUUGAAAAGGUGUUUGGGGCCUGUUCUUUGUACUCGUUGAUGUCCCGUAGAUAAUCCAAACGAAAAUUUGUGCACUUGUUUGUUUUGACAAUGUAAAAUAGCAUCUUCCGACUAUGUUUUGUUAUCAGUUGGUACCAUUUUAAUUUGUUGUUUUUAUGGUCGCGUAAAAUAAUAUCCCCCGCAUGUAGUUACAACAUGUAGUGAUACAACCGGUGCUAUUUUACAUGGCCAUUUUGCUUUAUAUGGAAGCCCUGUAAAGGGCCGUUUUCCAACGGAAGUAUUCCGUUACAACUAGGCUGAUAUGUCAGUUGAUGUCAGUGAGGUACGCAGAAUUUUACAAUGGUAGGAGGGAGGCUUGAAAAUAAAUAAUUACUCAGUUGUAACAGGCAAAUUGGCUUAAAAAGUAGUUGCUUUUUUUAUUUUUUAUAAAAUUAAUUAUUAAUAAUUAUAAUUCUAUGGAAAGUAUUUUUUGGUUUAUUCCCGACUAUUUUUUAAGUUGUGUUAAAUUGCAUUAGUUUUUAUAUUUAAUUUCAGUAUAACGUGGAUUUUUUUUUUUUUUUUGUAUCAACAUAAACCAAGGAUUCUUCGGGAGCCAAUACUUGGAUUUUUUAUCGUUUCAACCUGAAGGAGAUGUCCUUCGAGAGCCGGAACCUGGAUUUUUUUUUUUUUGGAUCAACCCAAAUCAAUUUUCCUCCGGGAGCCGGGGAUCCCCUUUUCAUUUCUACUUCUGAACUUAACACUUUGAAUAUUUGAUGAACUUGGAUUUUUUAUCGUUUCAACCUAAAGGAGAUGUCCUUCGAGAGCCGAGUAACCACUUAGUAUCAGAAUGGGGUAUUGAAAAAAAUAAUGUAGUGGCUGUAACAACAAAUAGUGGGGCUUACAUAAAAAA